GCCCCUGUAGCGUAGUGGAUAACGCGUUGGACUUCUAAUCCAAAGGUCGUGGGUUCGAUCCCCACCAGGGGUG
Molecule: non-coding RNA, 73 nt
Organism: Quaeritorhiza haematococci
Lineage: Eukaryota; Fungi; Chytridiomycota; Chytridiomycetes; Quaeritorhizaceae
Source: the annotation of a GenBank genome assembly